RNAcentral lists this ribosomal RNA (648 nucleotides) under Janthinobacterium sp. RNAcentral describes it as "bacterial SSU rRNA". It matches the Rfam family "Bacterial small subunit ribosomal RNA", at positions 75 to 719 of the family's 1533-position model. Lineage: Bacteria; Pseudomonadati; Pseudomonadota; Betaproteobacteria; Burkholderiales; Oxalobacteraceae. The record is from RNAcentral.
GGAGCUUGCUCUGGUGGCGAGUGGCGAACGGGUGAGUAAUAUAUCGGAACGUACCCUGGAGUGGGGGAUAACGUAGCGAAAGUUACGCUAAUACCGCAUACGAUCUAAGGAUGAAAGUGGGGGAUCGCAAGACCUCAUGCUCGUGGAGCGGCCGAUAUCUGAUUAGCUAGUUGGUAGGGUAAAAGCCUACCAAGGCAUCGAUCAGUAGCUGGUCUGAGAGGACGACCAGCCACACUGGAACUGAGACACGGUCCAGACUCCUACGGGAGGCAGCAGUGGGGAAUUUUGGACAAUGGGCGAAGCCUGAUCCAGCAAUGCCGCGUGAGUGAAGAAGGCCUUCGGGUUGUAAAGCUCUUUUGUCAGGGAAGAAACGGUGAGAGCUAAUAUCUCUUGCUAAUGACGGUACCUGAAGAAUAAGCACCGGCUAACUACGUGCCAGCAGCCGCGGUAAUACGUAGGGUGCAAGCGUUAAUCGGAAUUACUGGGCGUAAAGCGUGCGCAGGCGGUUUUGUAAGUCUGAUGUGAAAUCCCCGGGCUCAACCCUGGGAAUUGCAUUGGAGACUGCAAGGCUAGAAUCUGGCAGAGGGGGGUAGAAUUCCACGUGUAGCAGUGAAAUGCGUAGAUAUGUGGAGGAACACCGAUGGCGAA